This 1020-nucleotide ribosomal RNA is filed under the name Paraphoma radicina. Its description in RNAcentral is "SSU rRNA". It matches the Rfam family "Eukaryotic small subunit ribosomal RNA", at positions 75 to 1105 of the family's 1831-position model. Lineage: Eukaryota; Fungi; Ascomycota; Dothideomycetes; Pleosporales; Phaeosphaeriaceae. The record is from RNAcentral. RNAcentral also lists the same sequence under 3 other names.
UAUACCGUGAAACUGCGAAUGGCUCAUUAAAUCAGUUAUCGUUUAUUUGAUAGUACCUUACUACUUGGAUAACCGUGGUAAUUCUAGAGCUAAUACAUGCUGAAAACCCCAACUUCGGGAGGGGUGUAUUUAUUAGAUAAAAAACCAAUGCCCUUCGGGGCUUCUUGGUGAUUCAUGAUAACUUUACGGAUCGCAUGGCCUUGCGCCGGCGACGGUUCAUUCAAAUUUCUGCCCUAUCAACUUUCGAUGGUAAGGUAUUGGCUUACCAUGGUUUCAACGGGUAACGGGGAAUUAGGGUUCGAUUCCGGAGAGGGAGCCUGAGAAACGGCUACCACAUCCAAGGAAGGCAGCAGGCGCGCAAAUUACCCAAUCCCGACACGGGGAGGUAGUGACAAUAAAUACUGAUACAGGGCUCUUUUGGGUCUUGUAAUUGGAAUGAGUACAAUUUAAACCUCUUAACGAGGAACAAUUGGAGGGCAAGUCUGGUGCCAGCAGCCGCGGUAAUUCCAGCUCCAAUAGCGUAUAUUAAAGUUGUUGCAGUUAAAAAGCUCGUAGUUGAAACUUGGGUCUGGCUGGCAGGUCCGCCUCACCGCGUGUACUUGUCCGGCCGGGCCUUCCUUCUGGAGAACCUCAUGCCCUUCAUUGGGCGUGUUGGGGACCAGGACUUUUACUUUGAAAAAAUUAGAGUGUUCAAAGCAGGCCUUUGCUCGAAUACGUUAGCAUGGAAUAAUAGAAUAGGACGUGCGGUCCUAUUUUGUUGGUUUCUAGGACCGCCGUAAUGAUUAAUAGGGACAGUCGGGGGCAUCAGUAUUCAAUUGUCAGAGGUGAAAUUCUUGGAUUUAUUGAAGACUAACUACUGCGAAAGCAUUUGCCAAGGAUGUUUUCAUUAAUCAGUGAACGAAAGUUAGGGGAUCGAAGACGAUCAGAUACCGUCGUAGUCUUAACCGUAAACUAUGCCGACUAGGGAUCGGGCGAUGUUCUUUUUCUGACUCGCUCGGCACCUUACGAGAAAUCAAAGUU